Danio rerio (zebrafish) is the source of this 959-nucleotide non-coding RNA. The record is from RefSeq and is a predicted model, not a curated record. NCBI's taxonomy places the organism in Eukaryota, Metazoa, Chordata, Actinopteri, Cypriniformes, Danionidae.
GAAGGUGCAGGAGAGACUUCAGAAGGUGUCCAGGAGAGACUUCAGAAUGCUCUGGGAAAUGGCUGAAAGAGAUGAAGAUGAUCCAUCAAGACCAACGCUCAAUGAAAUAUGUGAAAAUAAUAAACUUAAUGGGAUUAAUUUGCUAACAAGUUCAUUGGUGAGUGAUGGCAUGGAAACUGACAGAAACAGGCAUCUAACACUGCAUCGCAUGAACUGCUAUUGGGUCGACCCUUGAAAGAAACCUUGAAAGAAACCUUGAAAGAACACUUGCAAGAAACAGCAUGACCCUUGCAAGAAACCACAUGAAACUUUGCAUAAAACCUGGCAUAUACUCUCACCUAUAACCAUGCACAUAACUCUUGGAAUGGUUUGCAAAGAUGUCUAAUGCAGUAGGGAUUUUUAUGAAGAAACAAUUAAUUGCCAUGUGCAAAGCGAUAUCUGUGCAGGAAACCAGAAAGGAGCCAUGUGAGAGAGCAGUGAUACAAGGUCCAACUGGUCUAGGUGAUUGAGUCUAUCUGUGGAUGCUCUGGAGAGCUCAGGAGGAAAGGACCAUAUCUGGAUGAGGGCAAAUCCAACAGCUGCCAAAGGGGAUGCCAUUGAUGAAGUACCAAUGCCUCAAAGGAGCGAAGGGGAACAACUCCAGCAAGGAAAGCUGACUGGAAACAGAGGAGCCUGAAUAUUCCAAAGCUCUGAGCUACUAAGUGCAACGUGUGGAAGGAGAAGUUUAUCAGAACAAAGUAAAGAGUGAUUCUGAUAAUAUGCCUGAGUACCACAUACAGAAGUGCCACAAGUCAAGGGAUGAUGAAUGCACUACUGCAGAUUUCAGAACUCAGACUCUUAACCACACAUCUCCAUCAACAUCUUUUCAAAGUUUAAUGAAGAUGCUGAUAGCUCGGAAGAAGAGAGACAAGGAUGAGCAAAGAUCAAGAUCAACAUUUGAUGCUUUUUACGUUUGCAUA